Molecule: RNA transcript, 4688 nt
Organism: Manis pentadactyla (Chinese pangolin)
Lineage: Eukaryota; Metazoa; Chordata; Mammalia; Pholidota; Manidae
Gene: TMEM67
Gene name: transmembrane protein 67
Exons: 29
Source: RefSeq, a predicted model, not a curated record
GCUGCAGAGGCUGAUGGGGUAACGGAGACGGCACUGCCUCAGGCGACUGCACCAUGGUGAUGGGCCGCGGUGGAACUAGGCUGGCAAUGGCGGCGUGGUCCAUCUUUCCGGCCGCUGCUGUGAUUGCAUUCCUCCUGUUAGACCUCCCAAGAGUCUCACAGGCCCAGACCUUCUCCUUCCCCUUCCGGCAGCCGGAGACGUGCGGCCACAACCAGUACUUCGAUAUCUCCGCGCUCUCCUGUGUUCCUUGUGGAGCCAACCAGAGGCGGGACUCCCUAGGAACUUCAUGUGUGUGUGUACCAGGAUUUCAGAUGAUCUCCAAUAAUGGAGGACCUGAUAUUAUUUGUAAAAAGUGCCCAGAAAAUAUGAAAGGUGUUACUGAAGAUGGCUGGAACUGCAUUUCUUGCCCUGGUGGUUUAACGGCAGAAGGAAAAUGCCACUGUCCCACUGGCCAUAUUUUAGUGGAAAGAAAUGUUAAUGGAACAUUGUUGUCUCAAGCAACUUGUAAGCUCUGUGAUGAAAGUGAAGACUCUUUCACGGUAGCAAACACUUUAGGAAACAGGUGUAUCCCUUGUGAACCAACAUUCAUCAGUACCAACAGAUCCUGUACAUGUUCAGAACCUAACAUUUUAACCGGGGGAUUAUGUUUCAGCAGCACAGCGAAUUUUCCUCCCCGUAUAAUUUCAGCUGCCCGUUACGGAGAACUUGGCAUGUCUCUUACUUCAGAAUGGUUUGCAAAGUAUUUGCAAUCAUCAGCAGCUGCUUGUUGGGUGUAUGCCAAUCUAACAUCUUGCCAAGCUCUCGGAAAUAUGUGUGUGAUGAACAUGAAUUCUUAUGACUCUGUCACUUUUGAUGCAUGUCGACUGUUUCAGUUUAUCUUUGAAAACACUGCUAGACGGCAUACAGUUCAUUCAAUUUCUUUUUGGAGACAGAAUCUUCCAUGGCUGUUCUAUGGAGACCAACUAGGAUUAGCUCCUCAAGUACUCAGGACUACACCUCUUCCUACAAAUUUCAUUUUUAAAGGGCAAAAUCAGAAUUCAAAACUGAAGUUUAUUGCUGCUUCCUAUGAUGUAAGAGGAAAUUUUCUCAAGUGGCAAACUUUAGAAGGAGGUGUUUUACAGCUCUGUCCAGACACAGAAACAAGACUAAAUGCUGCUUAUUGUUUUGGAACAACCUAUCAACAAAAUUGUGAAAUUCCUCUCUCUAAGAUCUUAAAUGACUUUCCCACUCCUAUAUUUUAUGAUGUAUAUGUUGAAUAUACCAAUGAAAAUCAACACCAGUAUAUUUGGGCUGUGCCUGUGUUAAACCUAAAUCUUCAACACAAUAAUAUAUUUGUGAACCGAGACAGUGCCUCUAGCAAGUGGCUUUUGACUCGGCGCAUUUUCUUAGUGGAUGCACUAAGUGGACAAGAAAAUGACAUAGGAAGUCAGCCAAGAUUAAUUCGAAUUGCUACCCAAAUAUCACUGAGCAUCCACCUUGUACCCAAUACAGAAAAUGGAAACAUCUAUCCUCCCUUAAUUACCAUUGCCUACAGUGAUAUUGAUAUCAAAGAUAUUAACAGCCAGUCUGUGAAGGUUUCUUUCUCAGUCAAAUACGCAAUGAAUCAAGAGGAGGCACAAGUCCGGACAGAUAUCGCUUUGGGUGUAUUGGGUGGGCUAGCUGUUUUAUCAUCUCUUCUGAAGACAGCAGGGUGGAAGAGGCGGAUUGGGAGUCCCAUGAUUGACUUACAGACAGUUAUGAAAUUCUUGGUAUACUAUGCUGGUGAUCUAGCCAAUGUUUUCUUUAUCGUCACUGUGGGAACAGGUCUUUAUUGGCUAAUUUUCUUCAAAGCACAGAAGUUGGCUUUUGUUUUGCUGCCAGGGCCGGCUCAGGAAGAGCGUCUCGUUACUUACGUGGGAUGUGCUUUUGCUCUAAAGGCUCUGCAAUUUAUGCAUAAGCUCAUAUCCCAGAUUACCAUAGAUAUAUUCUUUAUUGACUGGGAGCGACCUAAAAGAAGCAUUAUUAAAGCUGUUGAAGGUGAGGGCGGUGUUCGGAGUGCUGCUGUUCCUGUAAGCAUAUGGAGAACAUAUUUUGUAGCAAAUGAAUGGAAUGAAAUUCAGACUGUGAGAAAAAUUAACCCACUCUUUCAAGUACUUACUGUCCUCUUCUUUUUGGAGGUUGUGGGAUUCAAGAACUUAGCAUUGAUGGACUUAUCCUCUAGUCUUUCCAGAAGCUCUGCUAGCUACAUAGCUCCUUACAGCCUCAUUUUGAGAUAUGCAGUAUCUGCUGUUCUUUGGCUAGUCAUUGGAAUUAUACAGAUUGUGUUCUUUGCUGUCUUUUAUGAGAGAUUUAUAGAAGAUAAAAUUCGACAGUUUGUUGAUUUAUGCUGUAUGAGCAAUAUAUCAGUGUUUCUAUUAUCCCACAAAUGUUUUGGCUAUUACAUUCAUGGUAGAUCAGUACAUGGGCAUGCGGAUACUAAUAUGGAAGAGAUGAAUAUGAAUCUUAAAAGAGAAGCGGAGAAUUUGUGUAGCCAGAGAGGUUUGGUACCCAACACAGAUGGCCAAACUUUUCAAAUUGCAGUUUCUAGCCAGAUGAGACAACACUAUGACAGAAUCCAUGAGACACUUACAAGGAAAAAUGGCCCUGCCUUGAGUUCAUCAGCAAGUACUUUUGAGCAGAGCAUAAAAGCAUAUCAUACUAUGAAUAAAUUCCUUGGCUCUUUCAUUGAUCAUGUGCAUAAAGAAAUGGACUACAUUAUAAAAGAUAAAUUGCUUCUUGAAAGAAUUCUUGGAAUGGAAUUCAUGGAACCGGUGGAAAAAAGCAUCUUUUACAAUGAUGAAGGUUAUUCUUUCAGCAGUGUUCUGUAUUAUGGAAAUGAAGCCACGCUUCUUAUUUAUGAUCUGCUGUUCUUCUCUGUUGUGGAUUUGGUUAACCAAGAUUUUCUUCUAGCAGCCUUCCUUACAUACCUACAACAAGAGAUUUUUAGAUUUAUCCGUAAUACAGUUGGACAGAAGAAUUUAGCAUCCAAAACAUUGGUGGACCAGAGAUUUCUGAUUUAAUUUGCUGAAUAGAUAACUAAGACUCAAUAUAAUCAUGGCAAAAAAGGGUUAUGAUUAUAGGUGAACAAGGCAGAAGCUUUUAUUUAGAGGUACAGCAAGAGGACAGAGCUCCUGGCUCAGGCCAGGAGGGAACAAGAGAGUCCCCUCUUCAAUGUACUCUUUAAUAAUCCUUUUCAUUGUAUACCAUGUACUUGAAAGGUACCUUAUACUUCAAGUAUAAUAAUCAUCAACCUCCAAACUGAUAUUUCUUAUUGUCUUCUAUGUUAAUGCUGUAUAAUACUUAAAUAUAAUGCUAUGUAAAUAUUGUUUAUAUUUUUUUUCUUGAUUUUUUAUUUUGUAAAUAUGUACAUUUUUUAAUUGAAAAUAUAGAAUAAGACAUUUGGUGUUUCUGUUUCCUAUUGGAUUAAUCUCUAUUUCAUGAAAUAGCACUUCGGAAUGAAUACAUAUAGCACCAUUGAGGCAGGGUCUCCAAACACUACCAAAGUUGAAUCUUGUCAUUUUCCCUGAAUCUUGAGGAUUGACUGAAGAGAAAGAGGGAAAGCUAGUAAGUUGACUAUUCAAAACUUCAGUUUCUGAAGGGUCAUAGUACAGGAAUGCCUUUAUAAAAGCUGCGAAGACAGAUAAAUGUACCAACAUGGAUUUUUAAAACCACCUGCUCAGAAGCAUAUGGAAGACAUUCAGCUCUCAUUCUGCAAAUGAGAAGUUAAUACUAAUGUGAAUGUUUUAAAAUGAAAAUUUUGAAAAAUGAGGUCAGUUGGCUCACCUAAUAAAUUAAAACAGAAAAGACAUUAAAAGAAUCAUUCUACACUACUUUUGCAUAAUAUUUUUUAUUUUGGUUAGAGACAUAAAAAUGUAUAUUGAUUUUCAUACAGUGUUGACUCAAUUUAAUUUUUAUGCCACAAUUUAAAUUUUAUGAUCAUGUACCUAAUUUUCCACAAGAUCUGUAAACUUUCAUCUAUUUCUGUAGCACCAAUUCAUUGUACUUUGCAUCUUAUAACCCUAAUUUUACUGACUACCUAGAAAUGUUUGAGAAGUCUCAUCAUCAUUUCAUAAUGAAACAAACUCUAGGUUUACCUAGAUAUUCUAUAUAAGUGCUGUGUCCUCCUUAGAAGUGCACAGGCCUCCAAAAUAAUUCUGCAGAUCAUUCUCUGUGUUAUGAGCUGCUUAUAUUUACUUACUUCCCUGGCACUGCUGUCCUAUUAAACUACCUUUUGAGAAGGCUCUUCUAGUUACAUAGAUUGAGAAGCAUUCAAAAGUACCAUUAAUUCAGUGAUUGUAAGCAUAAAAAAAGUAUCCUUUUUAUGGUCUGUAAAUACUGACAAAAGCUGAGGAGAAAUAAAAGUACGUUAAGGAGCUGUGUGACUUAAUGGAAAGUGCUCCAGAUUUAGUAACAGAAGCCCUGGAUUCAAAUUAAAAUUUGCCCAUCACCUACCAGCUUUGGAACCUUAAACCAAGUUAUUUGGCAUCUUUGAAAUUUCAUUCUGCAUCUUUGCAAUGGAAUCAAUACCCUUUGUUUACCACUUGUAAAGAUUAAUUCAUUAAGAUAAGACUUAUCACAAUGAAUAAACUGUGAACACUGGAAUUUUUAUAGUUUUUGGAUUGAACUAUCUGCCUCCAAAUAUAUUUUGUAUCUUGCUAAUAAACAAACUC